AGAGUUUGAUCAUGGCUCAGAAUGAACGCUGGCGGCGUGCUUAACACAUGCAAGUCGUGCGCGAAGGUGGCUUCGGCUGCCGGAGAGCGGCGAACGGGUGAGUAACACGUGGGUAAUCUGCCUGGGAGCGGGGGAUAACCUGGGGAAACUCGGGCUAACACCGCAUACGUUGGUGGGGAUGCGUCUUCAUCAAGAAAGCUGGCCUCUGCUUGCAAGCUAGCGCUCCCAGAGGAGCCCGCGGCUGAUUAGCUAGUUGGUGAGGUAAUGGCUCACCAAGGCGACGAUCAGUAGCCGGCCUGAGAGGGUGAUCGGCCACACUGGGACUGAGACACGGCCCAGACUCCUACGGGAGGCAGCAGUGGGGAAUAUUGGACAAUGGGCGCAAGCCUGAUCCAGCAACGCCGCGUGGAGGAUGAAGGUCUUCGGAUCGUAAACUCCUGUCAGGUGGGACGAAGGUCUGGGGGUGAAUAAUCUUCAGAUUUGACGGUACCACCAGAGGAAGCCCCGGCUAACUCCGUGCCAGCAGCCGCGGUAAUACGGAGGGGGCGAGCGUUAUUCGGAAUUAUUGGGCGUAAAGGGCGCGUAGGCGGCUUGACAAGUCAAAGGUGAAAUCCCUCGGCUCAACUGAGGAACUGCCUUUGAAACUGUCUGGCUUGAGGCCGGGAGGGGGUAGCGGAAUUCCCAGUGUAGCGGUGAAAUG
RNAcentral lists this ribosomal RNA (700 nucleotides) under uncultured bacterium. RNAcentral describes it as "bacterial SSU rRNA". It matches the Rfam family "Bacterial small subunit ribosomal RNA", at positions 8 to 688 of the family's 1533-position model. The record is from RNAcentral.